Long non-coding RNA from Eleginops maclovinus (Patagonian blennie), 1330 nucleotides. RefSeq lists it as uncharacterized. NCBI's taxonomy places the organism in Eukaryota, Metazoa, Chordata, Actinopteri, Perciformes, Eleginopidae. The transcript has 3 exons. The record is from RefSeq and is a predicted model, not a curated record.
GUACAGUUCAUAGUUCAAUGAGUCGAGCGGCAGGUGCUCACAGAUCUCCGCUAUUGACGAAAGAACCUCUUUUCACGACAAGCGGCCAACGAGUUCUCACGGCGUUAACAAGGCAUGAGUGGCGGGACCAAAGGUGGAAGCAACAACAAUAAACGCCCGUUCCAAAGAACCGACCUGUGUCUGUGUCGUCGUGGAGAGAGCUACAAUGAGAAUGAAUGACUCUAAACUCACGUGUCAUCUUCAUCUUCUUCCGUCUGCCAGCUGUUCCCAAAGUCAUUGACAUUUCCUACCAGAACGCCAUCUGGUUUGGUGAAAUCAUUGCCUGGUUUCCCAUCAUAGUCUCCACAGAGGCCACACAUCUGGUCGUAGUAGGAGCUGGAGGGACAAAGACGAAGUCAUGAUGGAAUUAAGAGAUAAAGAAGAAUGUCUUAAGAAGACUUAAAAGAUUACCAACCUGGGAACUGAGAUCUGGGCGUAAUGGUUUCCAUCCCAGCGCACCUGGAGGCCGAAGGUCGUCUUCAGGGUGAUGUACUGACCCGCGAGACUGAUGGUGAUGAAAGGUGAGGGGGAGUUGGGGAGGGCCACUCGCAGUCCGUUCACCUGGGGGAAGAAAAGAACAUAAAGACGGGUUUAAACCGAAGCUACCAGUAGCUGAGACUGGCGCUAAGCUCACAAUGGGCCAUGGGAACAAUUGUGAAAUUGCACUUCGCUAAUAUGCUAACAUAUCUGAAUGCUAACUUUGUUGAUCAGGAUCAUAUUACAGUUCUUUAGAAUCAAACAUUUUAAAUUGCCCCAAGCCUAAAUGUCUCUGCUAGGUAGAGAUAUUAAACGUGUGUUAGUCGAUAGAAAUAUGCACAAGUUAGAUCUGAAAAAGUAAACUUAUUAUUAUUAACUUGUUAGUAGAUAUUCUAUUUAGUGAUCAUGUUUUCUGGUGCUUGUUUAAAUUAAAUGUUCAAACAGUUUCUAGUGAUAGACUAUUUUAUAACAAUAGCAUUUUUAAAUGCUAAUGUAAAAAUAAAACCAAGAAAUAACAAAUUUUGAACAUUUUUGUGUAAAUUAUAAGAUAUGUAUACAGCUUAGACAUUAACAUUUCAUUUACUGCUUGUUAACAAUUCCAACCUAAAUGAUAUCAGUAUACACAGCAGAGUGAAAAGUGUGCCAACCAAUCCCAGUCUCCCCUACACUUAAUAUUUGUUAUAUAUUUGUGAUUUCCUGUCAGCUUAUCCAAUUUCACACGUGAAUAAAAACCCUGCAUACAGGGAUUUAGAUCUCAGGCUGGAUAAGAUGACGGAGCAUUGCCACUGACGGAUCAAAUUGCUGAUACGAUGAA